GAUGAACGCUAGCUACAGGCUUAACACAUGCAAGUCGAGGGGCAGCAUGGUCUUAGCUUGCUAAGGCCGAUGGCGACCGGCGCACGGGUGAGUAACACGUAUCCAACCUGCCGUCUACUCUUGGACAGCCUUCUGAAAGGAAGAUUAAUACAAGAUGGCAUCAUGAGUCCGCAUGUUCACAUGAUUAAAGGUAUUCCGGUAGACGAUGGGGAUGCGUUCCAUUAGAUAGUAGGCGGGGUAACGGCCCACCUAGUCUUCGAUGGAUAGGGGUUCUGAGAGGAAGGUCCCCCACAUUGGAACUGAGACACGGUCCAAACUCCUACGGGGCAGUAGUGAGGAAUAUUGGUCAAUGGGCGAGAGCCUGAACCAGCCAAGUAGCGUGAAGGACGACUGCCCUAUGGGUUGUAAACUUCUUUUAUAAAGGAAUAAAGUCGGGUAUGGAUACCCGUUUGCAUGUACUUUAUGAAUAAGGAUCGGCUAACUCCGUG
Molecule: ribosomal RNA, 488 nt
Filed under: uncultured bacterium
Lineage: Bacteria
Description: partial 16S ribosomal RNA
Rfam family: Bacterial small subunit ribosomal RNA
Source: RNAcentral